This is a long non-coding RNA of Phyllostomus discolor (pale spear-nosed bat), 684 nucleotides long. RefSeq lists it as uncharacterized. The transcript is spliced from 3 exons. The record is from RefSeq and is a predicted model, not a curated record. NCBI's taxonomy places the organism in Eukaryota, Metazoa, Chordata, Mammalia, Chiroptera, Phyllostomidae.
AUCAUGUCCCCACAUGGGUGCUUGUCCAUCUGGGGCCUGUUUGCUAACACUGACUCUUUAUUGAGGCCCCUGGGAAAGUGAGGGACACAUUUAUCACCUGGUGAUUCUAGUCAUGGGGACUGAUUCCCAUCUGUCAGAGUCCAGAGGGAAAGGCCCCUGCUGAGGACAGAUGUCCAGAGUGGUGGUAGGUCCAGUCCCCACACAUGUACUUUCCCCGUGUUUCUGGAUUCUAACAUGAGUGUUUAGUCACAGUUCUGGAACCUUCCCUGUGCUUCAGAGUAUGGGGCUCCUUUAGUGUCACGGGACCCAGCCUUUCCCCUGACUUCUCACAGAACGUUUUCUUCCCACAGGCAGAGGUAGAGAGAGCUAUGCUACGGUUCCCUACAGCAACAGUGCCCAGGGCUGUGAUGUGUCUCUCACAGCUCAUGAUGGGUGACAGAUCUGCUUUCCACAGGACUUCGUGCUAAAAUAGUUACUACAGCCUCCCCUUGAGACUUUAAGCUUCACUGUCUACUGUUUCUGCACCCAGCAUCAGAGCCUUAUUUAAUCAUCUCAAUGUCCCUGAAUUAUUUUAAUAUUAAUGAUAUAUAUGUAAAUAGAUCAAAAGAGAUGUAGAUUCAAAGUUCCAAGGUGUAUUGUUUCCAGUGGGUCUUAUUCUAUCUAUACCUUCAUUCUGUUUAUUAA